AUGAACGCUGGCGGCGUGCCUAAUACAUGCAAGUCGAGCGAACAGACGAGGAGCUUGCUCCUCUGACGUUAGCGGCGGACGGGUGAGUAACACGUGGAUAACCUACCUAUAAGACUGGGAUAACUUCGGGAAACCGGAGCUAAUACCGGAUAAUAUAUUGAACCGCAUGGUUCAAUAGUGAAAGACGGUUUUGCUGUCACUUAUAGAUGGAUCCGCGCCUCAUUAGCUAGUUGGUAAGGUAACGGCUUACCAAGGCGACGAUGCGUAGCCGACCUGAGAGGGUGAUCGGCCACACUGGAACUGAGACACGGUCCAGACUCCUACGGGAGGCAGCAGUAGGGAAUCUUCCGCAAUGGGCGAAAGCCUGACGGAGCAACGCCGCGUGAGUGAUGAAGGUCUUCGGAUCGUAAAACUCUGUUAUUAGGGAAGAACAAAUGUGUAAGUAACUAUGCACGUCUUGACGGUACCUAAUCAGAAAGCCACGGCUAACUACGUG
Molecule: ribosomal RNA, 496 nt
Filed under: uncultured bacterium
Lineage: Bacteria
Description: partial 16S ribosomal RNA
Rfam family: Bacterial small subunit ribosomal RNA
Source: RNAcentral